UAAGAGGCUUUGUCUUCGCAGAAGGGUUUGUACUUGAAAAGAGAAUGCUGGGGACCCACAGAGGGGUGGAACUCCAGAGAUGAGACUGUGUGAAGGAAGGGGUAUUUAGGAACAGACUACUCUCCUCUAGGGGUCUGCCCCCUGGGCCAGCGCUGCUGAGCUGGCCUCGCCGUGGGCAACACCCUUACUUUCCCCUCCCAAUUUUCAUUUCAUAGUGUCUUCAUUGUUUGCAAGGAUGCAGAGCAAGGGAAGGAAAACAAUGCCAGGGAGGUUUUGCACGUAGAGGGUUAAUAAACCAAAGACUGCUGGGCCUCCCGGAAGCCCAUUGAACGUAGUAGCUAUUUCUGAACCUUUGCUCUGUGCUGGGCACUCUCACACAUUCUCAUCUACGUACCACCCUUGUAAAAAUGCGUGCCAUCAUCACCACCUCACAGGUGAGGAAUCAGACUCUCAGAGGCAUCAGGCAGCGUGUCCAAGGUCGCACAGUGACUACACAGCAGAGCCAGAAUUUGGACCCAGAAUCGUCCUGACUCCAGUGGUUGCAUUCUUAAGGGCAGUCGUGUUGGCCUUUUCCUGGCUUUUUGAUGACUACUGUAACUGCAUUCUGAGGAGGAUCCUCUGUGCAAGAAAUUACCUGGAUAUUCUAUAUGAGUACUUUUCCAGAUAAAUUCUACUUCUUUCAGCUUUCCUAACUCCUCAGAGAAAGCUACCUGCAGCUGGAGAGAAUGAGGCCAAACGAGAAAGAGAAGCAGGGCCAGGCUGUGGCCAACUAGUCGGGACCGGCUGCUCAGCCUCUGGUUUCCAGCCAGGCCUAAAGCAAAGGUCUACGCGGACCUUCCAGGCUAGAUUUCUAGAAGUAACCCAGGGAGGACACCCGUAUGCAAGGCUCUCAUUACACACUGACGGACAGUCUUCCAGGAAGAUUCAACCAGCGGAUGUUCUCUCGCCCUUAAUGAAUGACAGUUUUCUUCUUACCUUUACUGGUUGAACCCUCCAACUCUUGCCAGAAUUACACAUUAUCUUAA
This is a non-coding RNA of Manis javanica (Malayan pangolin), 1025 nucleotides long. The record is from RefSeq and is a predicted model, not a curated record. Lineage: Eukaryota; Metazoa; Chordata; Mammalia; Pholidota; Manidae.